CACUCCUGCGGGAGGCAGCAGUGGGGAAUUUUGAACAAUGGGCGAAAGCCUGAUCCAGCAAUGCCGCGUACAGGAUGAAGGCCUUCGGGUUGUAAACUGCUUUUGUACGGAACGAAAAAGCUCCUUCUAAUACAGGGGGCCCAUGACGGUACCGUAAGAAUAAGCACCGGCUAACUACGUGCCAGCAGCCGCGGUAAUACGUAGGGUGCGAGCGUUAAUCGGAAUUACUGGGCGUAAAGCGUGCGCAGGCGGUUAUGUAAGACAGAUGUGAAAUCCCCGGGCUCAACCUGGGAACUGCAUUUGUGACUGCAUGGCUAGAGUACGGUAGAGGGGGAUGGAAUUCCGCGUGUAGCAGUGAAAUGCGUAGAUAUGCGGAGGAACACCGAUGGCGAAGGCAAUCCCCUGGACCUGUACUGACGCUCAUGCACGAAAGCGUGGGGAGCAAACAGGAUUAGAAACCCGGGUAGUCCCAUGAU
This 476-nucleotide ribosomal RNA is filed under the name uncultured organism. RNAcentral's name for it is "partial 16S ribosomal RNA". It matches the Rfam family "Bacterial small subunit ribosomal RNA", at positions 334 to 801 of the family's 1533-position model. The record is from RNAcentral.